CGGGUGAGUAAUGCGUGACCAACCUGCCCCAUGCUCCAGAAUAGCUCUUGGAAACGGGUGGUAAUGCUGGAUGCUCCAACUUGACGCAUGUCUUGUUGGGAAAGUGUUUAGUGGCAUGGGAUGGGGUCGCGUCCUAUCAGCUUGUAGGCGGGGUAAUGGCCCACCUAGGCUUCGACGGGUAGCCGGCCUGAGAGGGCGGACGGCCACAUUGGGACUGAGAUACGGCCCAGACUCCUACGGAAGGGCAGCAGUG
This 253-nucleotide ribosomal RNA is filed under the name uncultured Gardnerella sp. RNAcentral's name for it is "partial 16S ribosomal RNA". It matches the Rfam family "Bacterial small subunit ribosomal RNA", at positions 103 to 356 of the family's 1533-position model. Lineage: Bacteria; Bacillati; Actinomycetota; Actinomycetes; Bifidobacteriales; Bifidobacteriaceae. The record is from RNAcentral.